GGAGAGCUGGCAGAACGGCUAUUGCACCGGUCUUGAAAACCGGCGCCCCGAAAGGGGCUUGUAGGUUCGAAUCCUACGCUCUCCG
Molecule: transfer RNA, 85 nt
Filed under: Ignavibacteria bacterium GWA2_55_11
Lineage: Bacteria; Pseudomonadati; Ignavibacteriota; Ignavibacteria
Also listed under: 4 other names
Description: tRNA-Ser
Rfam family: tRNA
About the family: Transfer RNA (tRNA) molecules are approximately 80 nucleotides in length.
Source: RNAcentral